RNAcentral lists this ribosomal RNA (468 nucleotides) under uncultured bacterium. RNAcentral's name for it is "partial 16S ribosomal RNA". It matches the Rfam family "Bacterial small subunit ribosomal RNA", at positions 28 to 507 of the family's 1533-position model. The record is from RNAcentral.
GACGAACGCUGGCGGCGCGCCUAACACAUGCAAGUCGAACGGAGCUGAGAGAAGCUUGCUUUUCUUAGCUUAGUGGCGAACGGGUGAGUAACGCGCGAGUAACCUGCCCUGGAGUGGGGGACAACAGUUGGAAACGACUGCUAAUACCGCAUAAGCCCACGAUCCGGCAUCGGAUUGAGGGAAAAGGAUUUAUUCGCUUCAGGAUGGACUCGCGUCCAAUUAGCUAGUUGGUGAGGUAACGGCCCACCAAGGCGACGAUUGGUAGCCGGACUGAGAGGUUGAACGGCCACAUUGGGACUGAGACACGGCCCAGACUCCUACGGGAGGCAGCAGUGGGGGAUAUUGCACAAUGGGGGAAACCCUGAUGCAGCGACGCCGCGUGGAGGAAGAAGGUUUUCGGAUUGUAAACUCCUGUCGUUAGGGACGAUAAUGACGGUACCUAACAAGAAAGCACCGGCUAACUACGUG